GAUGAACGCUGGCGGCGUGCUUAACACAUGCAAGUCGAACGAAGCACUUUAUUUGAUUUCCUUCGGGACUGAUUAUUUUGUGACUGAGUGGCGGACGGGUGAGUAACGCGUGGGUAACCUGCCUUGUACAGGGGGAUAACAGUUGGAAACGGCUUCUAAUACCGCAUAAGCGCACGGCAUCGCAUGAUGCAGUGUGAAAAACUCCGGUGGUAUAAGAUGGACCCGCGUUGGAUUAGCUAGUUGGUGAGGUAACGGCCCACCAAGGCGACGAUCCAUAGCCGAGCUGAGAGGGUGACCGGCCACAUUGGGACUGAGACACGGCCCAAACUCCUACGGGAGGCAGCAGUGGGGAAUAUUGCACAAUGGGCGAAAGCCUGAUGCAGCGACGCCGCGUGAGCGAAGAAGUAUUUCGGUAUGUAAAGCUCUAUCAGCAGGGAAGAUAAUGACGGUACCUGAAUAAGAAGCACCGGCUAAAUACGUG
RNAcentral lists this ribosomal RNA (481 nucleotides) under uncultured bacterium. Its description in RNAcentral is "partial 16S ribosomal RNA". It matches the Rfam family "Bacterial small subunit ribosomal RNA", at positions 28 to 507 of the family's 1533-position model. The record is from RNAcentral.